This 539-nucleotide ribosomal RNA is filed under the name Helenozyma melibiosica. Its description in RNAcentral is "eukaryotic LSU rRNA". It matches the Rfam family "Eukaryotic large subunit ribosomal RNA", at positions 62 to 648 of the family's 3401-position model. The record is from RNAcentral. Lineage: Eukaryota; Fungi; Ascomycota; Pichiomycetes; Serinales; Metschnikowiaceae.
AAACCAACAGGGAUUGCCUCAGUAACGGCGAGUGAAGCGGCAAAAGCUCAAAUUUGAAAUCUGGCGCAAGCCCGAGUUGUAAUUUGAAGACUGUGCUUUGGGACCGGCUCUUGUCUAUGUUCCUUGGAACAGGACGUCACAGAGGGUGAGAAUCCCGUGCGAUGAGAAGCCCGGCCCCGUGUAAAGCCACGUCGACGAGUCGAGUUGUUUGGGAAUGCAGCUCUAAGUGGGUGGUAAAUUCCAUCUAAAGCUAAAUAUUGGCGAGAGACCGAUAGCGAACAAGUACAGUGAUGGAAAGAUGAAAAGAACUUUGAAAAGAGAGUGAAAAAGUACGUGAAAUUGUUGAAAGGGAAGGGCUUGAGAUCAGACUUGCCGUUGCAGUUUACUGCGGCGGUGGGCCAGCAUCGGUUCGCACGGUGGGACAAGCGCAGCGGAAUGUGGCUCUGCCUCGGUGGAGUGUUAUAGCCGCUGUCUCUGCCGCCAGUGUGGACCGAGGACUGCGCAUUUGCAAGGAUGCUGGCAUAAUGAUCUUAAGCCGC